GGAAAUGUGCCUGAGCAAAGGGUCACUAUGAUAAGGUGAACACAGAGGUGCACAAACCCUCUCAUUUCCU
Molecule: transfer RNA, 70 nt
Filed under: Tyto alba (common barn owl)
Lineage: Eukaryota; Metazoa; Chordata; Aves; Strigiformes; Tytonidae
Also listed under: 3 other names
Description: tRNA-Ile
Source: RNAcentral